RNAcentral lists this ribosomal RNA (271 nucleotides) under uncultured Lachnospiraceae bacterium. RNAcentral describes it as "partial 16S ribosomal RNA". It matches the Rfam family "Bacterial small subunit ribosomal RNA", at positions 77 to 339 of the family's 1533-position model. Lineage: Bacteria; Bacillati; Bacillota; Clostridia; Lachnospirales; Lachnospiraceae. The record is from RNAcentral.
UCUUCGGAAGCGGACUGAUCUGACUGAGUGGCGGACGGGUGAGUAACGCGUGGGUAACCUGCCUCACACAGGGGGAUAACAGUUGGAAACGGCUGCUAAUACCGCAUAAGCGCACAGUACCGCAUGGUACAGUGUGAAAAACUCCGGUGGUGUGAGAUGGACCCGCGUCUGAUUAGCUAGUUGGCAGGGCAACGGCCUACCAAGGCGACGAUCAGUAGCCGACCUGAGAGGGUGACCGGCCACAUUGGGACUGAGACACGGCCCAAACUCC